This 85-nucleotide microRNA precursor is filed under the name Punica granatum (pomegranate). RNAcentral describes it as "mir-156 microRNA precursor family". It matches the Rfam family "mir-156 microRNA precursor family". Rfam says of the family: This family represents the plant microRNA (miRNA) precursor mir-156. Animal miRNAs are transcribed as ~70nt precursors and subsequently processed by the Dicer enzyme to give a ~22nt product. Lineage: Eukaryota; Viridiplantae; Streptophyta; Magnoliopsida; Myrtales; Lythraceae. The record is from Rfam by way of RNAcentral.
GCGACAGAAGAGAGUGAGCACAAAUGGUUCUUUCUUGCAUGGGACACAUGCUUGAAGCUGUCUGUGCUCACUCUCUGUCUGUCAC